UACGUAGGUGGCAAGCGUUGUCCGGAUUCACUGGGUUUAAAGGGUGCGUAGGCGGACAGGUAAGUCAGUGGUGAAAUCUCUGGGCUUAACCCAGAAACUGCCGUUGAUACUAUUUGUCUUGAAUAUCCUGGAGGUAGGCGGAAUAUGUCAUGUAGCGGUGAAAUGCUUAGAUAUGACAUAGAACACCGAUAGCGAAGGCAGCUUACUACAGGAUGAUUGACGCUGAGGCACGAAAGCGUGGGGAGCAAACAGG
RNAcentral lists this ribosomal RNA (253 nucleotides) under uncultured bacterium. Its description in RNAcentral is "partial 16S ribosomal RNA". It matches the Rfam family "Bacterial small subunit ribosomal RNA", at positions 524 to 776 of the family's 1533-position model. The record is from RNAcentral.